This 955-nucleotide ribosomal RNA is filed under the name Ptycta sp. KY290. RNAcentral describes it as "bacterial SSU rRNA". It matches the Rfam family "Eukaryotic small subunit ribosomal RNA", at positions 38 to 928 of the family's 1831-position model. Lineage: Eukaryota; Metazoa; Arthropoda; Insecta; Psocodea; Psocidae. The record is from RNAcentral.
CAAAGAUUAAGCCAUGCAUGUSUGAGUGCAAACUAAAUUAAAGUGAAACCGCGAAAGGCUCAUUAAAUCAGUUAUGGUUUUUUUGAUGGUACGCACAGUUACUUGGAUAACUGUGGUAAUUCUAGAGCUAAUACAUGCAAAUAGAGCCCCGACCAUUCGCUGGAAGGGGUGCUUUUAUUAGAUCAAAACCAAUCAGGCUCGAAAGGGCUUGUUUGUCUUGGUGACUCUGAAUAACUUUGGGCUGAUCGCAUGGUCUUGUACCGGCGACGCAUCUUUCAAAUGUCUGACUUAUCACACUUUCGAUGGUAGGCUCUGCGCCUACUAUGGUUAUAACGGGUAACGGGGAAUCAGGGUUCGAUUCCGGAGAGGGAGCCUGAGAAACGGCUACCACAUCCAAGGAAGGCAGCAGGCGCGCAAAUUACCCACUCCCAGCACGGGGAGGUAGUGACGAAAAAUAACGAUGCAGAACUCAAUCCGAGGCUCUGCAAUCGGAAUGAGAACACUCUAAAUCAUUUAACGAGUAUCCAUUGGAGGACAAGUCUGGUGCCAGCACCCGCGGUAAUUCCAGCUCCAAUAGCGUAUAUUAAAGUUGUUGCGGUUAAAAAGCUCGUAGUUGGAUCUGUGUUUCUCGCUGUCGGUUCACCGUUUUGAUGGUGUUUAACUGACAUGUCGUGUAACGUCCUGCCGGUUGGUGACGUGUCUUUUUCUCUUCAAUGGGAGGGAUGCGUCUGCCAGUUCCAAUCCUGUCGCGUUGCUCUUCGCUGAGUGACGAGGCGGGCCGGCACGUUUACCUUGAACAAAUUUGAGUGCUUCAAGCAUGCUAAAAUCGCCGGAAAACUGUGUGCAUGGAAUAAUAUAAUAGGACCGCGGUUCUAUUUUGUUGGUUUUCAGAAUCCGAGGUAAUGAUUAAUAGGAACUGACGGGGGCAUUAGUAUUGCGACGUUAGAGGUGAAAU